GACGAACGCUGGCGGCGUGCUUAACACAUGCAAGUCGAACGGAAAGGCCUCCAGCUUGCUGGGGGUACUCGAGUGGCGAACGGGUGAGUAACACGUGGGUGAUCUGCCCUGCACUUCGGGAUAAGCCUGGGAAACUGGGUCUAAUACCGGAUAGGAGCCAUCUUUGGUGUGAUGGUUGGAAAGUUUUUUCGGUGUAGGAUGAGCCUGCGGCCUAUCAGCUAGUUGGUAAGGUAACGGCUUACCAAGGCAAUGAUGCAUAGCCGAGUUGAGAGACUGAUCGGCCACAUUGGGACUGAGACACGGCCCAA
This 308-nucleotide ribosomal RNA is filed under the name uncultured bacterium. Its description in RNAcentral is "bacterial SSU rRNA". It matches the Rfam family "Bacterial small subunit ribosomal RNA", at positions 28 to 334 of the family's 1533-position model. The record is from RNAcentral.